RNAcentral lists this unclassified non-coding RNA (217 nucleotides) under plant metagenome. Its description in RNAcentral is "partial contains small subunit ribosomal RNA, internal transcribed spacer 1, and 5.8S ribosomal RNA". The stretch from base 169 to 217 matches the Rfam family "5.8S ribosomal RNA", at positions 1 to 49 of the family's 154-position model. The record is from RNAcentral.
UCUCCGUUGGUGAACCAGCGGAGGGAUCAUUACCGAGUGCAAGCUCAUAACCCUUUGUGAACCUAUAUCUGUUGCUUCGGCGGCUCGCUCUCGGGCGAGCCCGCCGGCAAUAUCAGUAUCUCUGUUUGAACCCGACGAUACUUCUGAGUGUUCUUAGCGAACAGUUAAAACUUUUAACAACGGAUCUCUUGGCUCUAGCACCGAUGAAGAACGCAGC